GGCGAACGCUGGCGGCGUGCUUAACACAUGCAAGUCGAACGGAAAGGCCUGCUUUCCCUUGUGGAUUGCGGGUACUGGGGUGGCAAAGGGGGGGGUAACACGGGGGUGAUCUGCCCCCACCUUGGGAAUAGGCCUGGGAACCUGGGUCAAAUUCCCGAUAGGACGGCAGGGUGGUGCCGGGGGUGGAAACCGUUUUUUUGGGGGUGGGGGAUGGGCUCGCGGCCUAUCAGCUUGUGGGUGGGGUAAUGGCCUACCAAGGCGGCGACGGGUAGCCGGCCUGAGAGGGUGGACGGCCACAUUGGGACUGAGAUACGGCCCAGACUCCUACGGGAGGCAGCAGUGGGGAAUAUUGCACAAUGGGCGGAAGCCUGAUGCAGCGACGCCGCGUGGGGGAUGACGGCCUUCGGGUUGUAAACUCCUUUCGACCGCGAGGAAGCCACCUGGUUGGAAGGGUGGUGACGGUAGUGGUAGAAGAAGCACCGGCUAACUACGUG
This 494-nucleotide ribosomal RNA is filed under the name uncultured bacterium. Its description in RNAcentral is "partial 16S ribosomal RNA". It matches the Rfam family "Bacterial small subunit ribosomal RNA", at positions 28 to 507 of the family's 1533-position model. The record is from RNAcentral.